RNAcentral lists this unclassified non-coding RNA (273 nucleotides) under Ascomycota sp. Its description in RNAcentral is "partial contains small subunit ribosomal RNA, internal transcribed spacer 1, and 5.8S ribosomal RNA". The stretch from base 1 to 47 matches the Rfam family "Eukaryotic small subunit ribosomal RNA", at positions 1785 to 1831 of the family's 1831-position model. The record is from RNAcentral. Lineage: Eukaryota; Fungi; Ascomycota.
AAAGUCGUAACAAGGUUUCCGUAGGUGAACCUGCGGAAGGAUCAUUAACACGUAUCCAUACGUAUUAUAUACCAAACCGUGAACCUGUUUGUAAUGAAUGAGAAGGGGUAGCUGGGCUUCGGCUUAGUGAGACUUCUGUACUUUAUUUCAACCAAUUAUAAACCACUUGUAAACCAAUUGUACUAAACCUAAGAAUGUGAACCGUUCAUUCGGAUCAUAUUUUGUAUUUACGAAACGUAAAAACAAUUCUUAGCAACGGAUAUCUUGGUUCUC